GCGCCCGUAGCUCAGGGGAUAGAGCGUCCGCCUUCUAAGCGGAAUGUCGCAGGUUCGAAUCCUGCCGGGCGUA
This 73-nucleotide transfer RNA is filed under the name Chloroflexota bacterium. RNAcentral's name for it is "tRNA-Arg". It matches the Rfam family "tRNA". From Rfam's summary of the family: Transfer RNA (tRNA) molecules are approximately 80 nucleotides in length. Their secondary structure includes four short double-helical elements and three loops (D, anti-codon, and T loops). The record is from RNAcentral. Lineage: Bacteria; Bacillati; Chloroflexota.